AAGCGGACGCUCUCUGCCGCUCGCUCUCUUUCUCUCAGCAGCACGUGAGUGGUUGUUCUUCCCCAAACAGAGAGGACAGAGCCGCUCAAAUAAAGCAUGUUCAUAAUGAAUUACACGCGAGGAUCCCAUCGCAGCGCGCGCAAGCCACCGUGAUGAAUGCUGGAUUCACGUGCUCGUGAUUAUCUGCUGGCUGAUUUACUGUGUGAUGAUCACGCGCAGGUCAUGAAAAUGGUGAACGUCUGUAUCUAAACGCUGAUUCUGCACUGAUCAGAUGGAGCUGAAACCAUCAUGGAGUGUCCUGAUUCACUUGGAUACGGAGCUAUACGCUCCAUGGGGACCGUGAAUGCUGGAGAUUGAUGUCAGACCAUAAAACAUCUCUUUACCGUGUUUAUUAUCAAAUAAAGCAUAUCAAAACUA
Cyprinus carpio (common carp) is the source of this 417-nucleotide long non-coding RNA. RefSeq lists it as uncharacterized. NCBI's taxonomy places the organism in Eukaryota, Metazoa, Chordata, Actinopteri, Cypriniformes, Cyprinidae. The record is from RefSeq and is a predicted model, not a curated record.